AACGAACACUGGCGGCAGGCCUAACACAUGCCAGUCGAGCGGACCUUUCGGGGUCAGCGGCGGACGGGUGAGUAACGCGUGGGAAUAUGCCCUUCUCUACGGAAUAGUCCUGGGAAACUGGGGGUAAUACCGUAUACGCCCUUUGGGGGAAAGAUUUAUCGGGGAAGGAUUAGCCCGCGUUGGAUUAGGUAGUUGGUGGGGUAAUGGCCUACCAAGCCGACGAUCCAUAGCUGGUUUGAGAGGAUGAUCAGCCACACUGGGACUGAGACACGGCCCAGACUCCUACGGGAGGCAGCAGUGGGGAAUCUUAGACAAUGGGGGCAACCCUGAUCUAGCCAUGCCGCGUGAGUGAUGAAGGCCUUAGGGUUGUAAAGCUCUUUCAGCUGGGAAGAUAAUGACGGUACCAGCAGAAGAAGCCCCGGCUAACUCCGUG
RNAcentral lists this ribosomal RNA (433 nucleotides) under uncultured bacterium. Its description in RNAcentral is "partial 16S ribosomal RNA". It matches the Rfam family "Bacterial small subunit ribosomal RNA", at positions 29 to 507 of the family's 1533-position model. The record is from RNAcentral.